UAAGCGGAGGAAAAGAAACCAACAGGGAUUGCCUCAGUAACGGCGAGUGAAGCGGCAACAGCUCAAAUUUGAAAUCUGGCCUUCUGGCCCGAGUUGUAAUUUGCAGAGGAUGUUUCUGGCGAGGUGCCUUCCGAGUUCCCUGGAACGGGACGCCAUAGAGGGUGAGAGCCCCGUACGGUUGGUCGCUAAGCCUCUGUGAAACUCCUUCGACGAGUCGAGUAGUUUGGGAAUGCUGCUCUAAAUGGGAGGUAUACGUCUUCUAAAGCUAAAUACCGGCUAGAGACCGAUAGCGCACAAGUAGAGUGAUCGAAAGAUGAAAAGCACUUUGAAAAGAGGGUUAAAUAGUACGUGAAAUUGUUGAAAGGGAAGCGCUUAUGACCAGACUUGGACCGGUUGAUCAUCCAUCGUUCUCGGUGGUGCACUCUGCCGGUUCAGGCCAGCAUCAGUUUGGCCCGGGGGAUAAAGGCUUCGGGAAUGUGGCUCCCCACGGGGAGUGUUAUAGCCCGUUGCGUAAUACCCUGGGCUGGACUGAGGUUCGCGCUCCGCAAGGAUGCUGGCGUAAUGGUCAUCAGUGACCCGUCUUGAAACACGGACCAAGGAGUCGUCUUCGUAUGCGAGUGUUCGGGUGUCAAACCCCUACGCGUAAUGAAAGUGAACGUAGGAGAGAGCUUCGGCGCAUCUCCGACCGAUCCUGAUGUUCUCGGAUGGAUUUGAGUAAGAGCAUACGGGGCCGGACCCGAAAGAAGGUGAACUAUGCCUGUAUAGGGUGAAGCCAGAGGAAACUCUGGUGGAGGCUCGCAGCGGUUCUGACGUGCAAAUCGAUCGUCAAAUAUGGGCAUGGGGGCGAAAGACUAAUCGAACCUUCUAGUAGCUGGUUUCCGCCGAAGUUUCCCUCAGGAUAGCAGUGUUGAACUCAGUUUUAUGAAGGUAAAGCGAAUGAUUAGGGACUCGGGGGCGCUAUAUAGCCUUCAUCCAUUCUCAAACUUUAAAUAUGUAAG
This 998-nucleotide ribosomal RNA is filed under the name Hydropisphaera erubescens. RNAcentral describes it as "LSU rRNA". It matches the Rfam family "Eukaryotic large subunit ribosomal RNA", at positions 47 to 1077 of the family's 3401-position model. The record is from RNAcentral. Lineage: Eukaryota; Fungi; Ascomycota; Sordariomycetes; Hypocreales; Bionectriaceae.